RNAcentral lists this long non-coding RNA (821 nucleotides) under Homo sapiens (human). RNAcentral describes it as "HSALNT0203346". Lineage: Eukaryota; Metazoa; Chordata; Mammalia; Primates; Hominidae. The record is from RNAcentral.
CCUGCCUCAGCCUGCCGAGUAGCUGGGACUACAGGCGCCGGCCACAACGCCCGGCUAAUUAUUUGUAUUUUAGUAGAGAUGGGGUUUCAUCGUGUUAGACAGGAUGGUCUCGAUCUCCUGACCUCGUGAUCCACCCACCUGGGCCUUCCAAAGUGCUGGGAUUACAGGCGUGAGCCACCGAGCCUGGCCAGCAAGUUGAAUUGUUAAAUCAAAAUCACCCUCCAGCCUGGCCAACAUGGUGAAACUGCGUCUCUCCUAAAAAAUACAAACAGUAGCCAGGCCUGGUCACACGCCUGUAAUCUCAGCUACUCCGGAGGCUGAGGCAGAAGAAUCAUUUGAACCUGGGAGGCAGAGGUUGCAGUGAGCCGAGAUUGUGCCACUGCACUCCAGCUUGGGCGACAGGUGAGAUUCCAUCUUAAAAAAAAAAAGAAAUUACCAUAUUACCAGGCUCACAAAUGUAUACCAUACGAAGUGGAAGUGGAAGGCCUAAUUUCAUAAUGUCCAGUUCAGAAGAGGCAAUGGAAGAUAAAAGAGAAGAAUUUUCAAGCAACAAAGUCAAUGACCAUGAGGAUCAAUGGGCAAGAGAAUUCUUCCUAAUGAAUAGUACAUUGAGCUGUAAGAUGAGCUAACUGAUAUUCUACUUUGAGUGAAGCAAAUUUUUGCAUUCUUUCUAAGCAUGAAUUAAUAACUACUAGGGACAUGCAACUUCUGAGUGCUUUGAACAAUAUCCCUUUGCCCUAAUGUGAAGUUUUUUGUUUGCUUUCUUUUUCCUUAAUUCCUUUUAUCUUGUUCCUACUUUCUUUUAUUUUAAAAGAUCUGGG